GUUAAUCUGCGUCACAUAUUCUUCCUCCACGUGAUCUGCAGGAACUGGUCCGUGAAAAGACUGAGUCUGGAUUGUUGCACCAAAUAUGUUGUAAAUAUUUAUUUCAGGUUUGAGCUGCUGGGCUGAGCAGCGACGAUGGGAGGAGAUCAGAGUCACGAGACGAAGCCCGAGGAAAGAAAAGCAGCUGAAGAACAUGCGGAGUGUGAGAAACCCGCCCACCAGGCGCCUGAAGAGUUGCCAGGUGAGCUGCCCCAGUGCAUGAUGGGAAGCAGAAAGGUGGACGACAUGAGCUUCAUGAUCUCGUGCACCAACUGGUAUUAGCUUGGCUCUGGUUCUGGACCUCUGGGGCCCGGAUGCUGCAUUCAUGAAGUCCACACAGAGACGCUGAGGUCCAUCAGGACCCGUUGGAGGACGCUCCUGCAGAACCUCGAGGUUCUGGGUUCAGGACUUCUUCAGGAGGAUCGGACCGUGUUCUGGAGACGUUCGUUUCACUUUGUCUUCUGUUUAAAGAAAGUGUCUUUAGUUUCUUUAGACUGAGCCCGUUCUUCAGUUUAACUUUGAUUUUUCUGCAGUUUGAACAGAAAUAAUAAAAGUUUAUCGACGAUCA
Molecule: long non-coding RNA, 607 nt
Organism: Nematolebias whitei (Rio pearlfish)
Lineage: Eukaryota; Metazoa; Chordata; Actinopteri; Cyprinodontiformes; Rivulidae
Exons: 3
Source: RefSeq, a predicted model, not a curated record